GUCGGUUUAGACAUCGAGGAUGUCCAUUUCUUCCUGACAUAGACUACCUAUAUAAACAUAUAGAGGGUCAGUCGCCACCUGAUGAUGUACUGUACCGUUGACCUCCCUUUGUGUUGUCCAGAUGAGUGAUGGCCGACCAUUAUACAUUACAGUAUGGCCCCAGGCAAAAGUAUUGUCAAAUGGAUGCUGAAGAGGAACUACACUAACAAGUGCAUUGUAGAAGAUCUAGCCGGAGAUAUACGCUUGUUGGAAUGCCUCUUUGAUCUGGACCAUGUCCACUUCACAGCGUGACACGAGGAUCCGACACAGACGGUCAUCAUCUGUUCCAAGACCUUUCAUGGACUU
This is a long non-coding RNA of Pecten maximus, 345 nucleotides long. RefSeq lists it as uncharacterized. NCBI's taxonomy places the organism in Eukaryota, Metazoa, Mollusca, Bivalvia, Pectinida, Pectinidae. The record is from RefSeq and is a predicted model, not a curated record. The transcript has 4 exons.